CCUACGGGGGGCAGCAGUGGGGAAUAUUGCACAAUGGGGGAACCCCUGAUGCAGCAACGCCGCGUGAGUGAAGAAGUAUUUCGGUAUGUUAAGCUCUAUCAGCAGGGAAGAAGCUGACGGUACCUGACCAAGAAGCCCCGGCUAGCUACGUGCCAGCAGCGGCGGUAAUACGUAGGGGGCAAGCGUUAUCCGGAUUUACUGGGUGUAAAGGGAGCGCAGACGGCAGUGCAAGUCUGGAGUGAAAGGCCGGGGCCCAACCCCGGAACUGCUCUGGAAACUGGGCGGCUAGAGUACUGGGAGGGCAGGCGGAAUUCGUAGUGUAGCGGUGAAAUGCGUAGAUAUGAGGAGGAACCCCAGUGGCGAAGGCAGCCUGCUGGACAGUAACUGACGUUGAGGCUCGAAAGCGUGGGGAGCAAACAGGAUUAGAUACCCCUGUAGUC
RNAcentral lists this ribosomal RNA (440 nucleotides) under uncultured bacterium. RNAcentral's name for it is "partial 16S ribosomal RNA". It matches the Rfam family "Bacterial small subunit ribosomal RNA", at positions 338 to 795 of the family's 1533-position model. The record is from RNAcentral.